Oreochromis aureus is the source of this 463-nucleotide long non-coding RNA. Lineage: Eukaryota; Metazoa; Chordata; Actinopteri; Cichliformes; Cichlidae. The record is from Ensembl.
CAGCCCUCAUCACUCCGCAGUCUGCCCCCCCAGCCCACUGAUAGCAACCAUCAUAAUGCCCCACCCAGCUUCCGGCACCUUUCGCCACUCCGGCACAAGCCGACACAGCUUUGCGAUCUCGCCAGCAUGCAGAGUCUGAUGUCUUCCCUAUAGAUGAUUCCAGAGACUCUGUGAGGCCACUAUUACAAGGAGCUGGCCUCUGUACUCAACUGGGCAGGGGAAAAAAAACCAAGGACCAGACAAAGCAAAAAAGGGCAUUUAAAGAGACAGCGCUGUGCAGAUGCAUAUUUGAUGGCCUGGCGCAGCAGGUAGGGGCGAACUCUAUGUCUGAGUUGGUCUUUGCUCAAGCAGUCCAGAAAUGGCUCAGAUAUGAUCCAGAUCGUACGGGUGGCGCGCAGGACGCACAUCAUCCAUCCCCAUCCCGGAGUAAAUAAUAAAAAGUGACGUGAAACAUAGAAAUGUA